CCGUAACCCACUCAGAGGGGGAGUAACACUUGGAAACAGGUGCUAAUACCGCAUAACAGUUUAUGCCGCAUGGCAUAAGAGUGAAAGGCGCUUUCGGGUGUCGCUGAUGGAUGGACCCGCGGUGCAUUAGCUAGUUGGUGAGGUAACGGCUCACCAAGGCCACGAUGCAUAGCCGACCUGAGAGGGUGAUCGGCCACACUGGGACUGAGACACGGCCCAG
This 220-nucleotide ribosomal RNA is filed under the name uncultured bacterium. RNAcentral's name for it is "partial 16S ribosomal RNA". It matches the Rfam family "Bacterial small subunit ribosomal RNA", at positions 119 to 334 of the family's 1533-position model. The record is from RNAcentral.